This 1445-nucleotide ribosomal RNA is filed under the name uncultured bacterium. Its description in RNAcentral is "bacterial SSU rRNA". It matches the Rfam family "Bacterial small subunit ribosomal RNA". The record is from RNAcentral.
AGAGUUUGAUCCUGGCUCAGGAUGAACGCUGGCGGCGUGCUUAACACAUGCAAGUCGAACGAACCUUCGGGUUAGUGGCGGACGGGUGAGUAACGCGUGAGAAUCUGCCCUCAGGAGGGGGAUAACAGUUGGAAACGACUGCUAAUACCCCAUAUGCCGAGAGGUGAAAUGAAUUUCGCCUGGGGAUGAGCUCGCGUCUGAUUAGCUUGUUGGUGGGGUAAUAGCCUACCAAGGCUUCGAUCAGUAGCUAGUCUGAGAGGACGAUCAGCCACACUGGGACUGAGACACGGCCCAGACUCCUACGGGAGGCAGCAGUGGGGAAUUUUCCGCAAUGGGCGAAAGCCUGACGGAGCAACGCCGCGUGAGGGAUGGAGGCCUUUGGGCUGUAAACCUCUUUUCUCAAGGAAGAAGAUCUGACGGUACUUGAGGAAUAAGCCACGGCUAAUUCCGUGCCAGCAGCCGCGGUAAUACGGGAGUGGCAAGCGUUAUCCGGAAUUAUUGGGCGUAAAGCGUCCGCAGGCGGCCGUUUAAGUCUGUUGUUAAAUCGUGGAGCUCAACUCCAUCACGGCAAUGGAAACUGUUCGGCUUGAGUAUGGUAGGGGCAGAGGGAAUUUCCGGUGUAGCGGUGAAAUGCGUAGAUAUCGGGAAGAACACCAGUGGCAAAAGCGCUCUGCUGGGCCAUUACUGACGCUCAUGGACGAAAGCCAGGGGAGCGAAAGGGAUUAGAUACCCCUGUAGUCCUGGCCGUAAACGAUGAACACUAGAUGUUGGGGGAAUCGACCCCCUCGGUGUCGUAGCUAACGCGUUAAGUGUUCCGCCUGGGGAGUACGCACGCAAGUGUGAAACUCAAAGGAAUUGACGGGGGCCCGCACAAGCGGUGGAGUAUGUGGUUUAAUUCGAUGCAGCGCGAAGAACCUUACCAAGGCUUGACAUCCUGCGAAUCUCUAAGAAAUUAGAGAGUGCCUUCGGGAACGCAGUGACAGGUGGUGCAUGGCUGUCGUCAGCUCGUGUCGUGAGAUGUUGGGUUAAGUCCCGCAACGAGCGCAGCCCACGUUUUUAGUUGCCAGCAUUCAGUUGGGCACUCUAGAAAGACUGCCGGUGACAAACCGGAGGAAGGUGUGGACGACGUCAAGUCAUCAUGCCCCUUACGCCUUGGGCUACACACGUACUACAAUGCUGCGGACAAAGAGUAGCGAUCUUGCGAAAGUUAGCUAAUCUCAUAAACCGUGGCUCAGUUCAGAUCGUAGGCUGCAACUCGCCUACGUGAAGGAGGAAUCGCUAGUAAUCGCAGGUCAGCAUACUGCGGUGAAUACGUUCCCGGGCCUUGUACACACCGCCCGUCACACCAUGGAAGUUGGCCAUGCCCGAAGUCGUUACUCUAACCUUUUGGAAGAGGGCGCCGAAGGCAGGGCUAAUGACUGGGGUGAAGUCGUAACAAGGUAACC